This is a long non-coding RNA of Dama dama (fallow deer), 1253 nucleotides long. RefSeq lists it as uncharacterized. The transcript is spliced from 3 exons. The record is from RefSeq and is a predicted model, not a curated record. NCBI's taxonomy places the organism in Eukaryota, Metazoa, Chordata, Mammalia, Artiodactyla, Cervidae.
AUUUAUUUCUUUGUUUUUAUUUUUGGCUGUGCCGGGUCUUUGUUGCUGCAAGCAGGCUUUCUCUGGUUGAGGCAAGAAUAUGAGAGUGGAUUGCCAUUUCCUGCUGGAGGGAAUCUUCCUGACCCAGGGGUUGAACCCACGUUCCAUGCAUCUCCUGCAUUGGCAGGUGGAUUCUUUACCACUGUGCCGCCUGGGAAGCCCUAUCACAAGGCCAUCAGAGUACAUCAUGCGAAAUGCUGGACUAGAUGAAGCACCAGCUGGAAUCAAGAUUGCCAGGAGAAAUAUCAAUAACCUCUGGUAUGCAGAUGACACCAUCCUUAUGGCAGAAAGCAAAGAAGAACUAAAGAGCCUCUUGAUGAAAGUGAAAGAGGAGAGUGAAAAAGCUGGCUUAAAACUCAACAUUCAGAAAACGAAGAUCAUGGCAUCUGGUCCCAUCACUUCAUGGCAAAUAGUUAUGGAGAGUGGCAAACUUUAUUUUCUUGGGCUCCAAAAUCACUGCAGAUGGUGAUUGCAGCCAUGAAAUUAAAAGAUGCUUGCUCCUUGGAAGAAAAAUUAUGACCAACCUAGACAGCAUAUUAAAAAACAGAGACAUUACUUUGCCAACAAAGGUUCAUCUAGUCAAAGCUAUGGUUUUUCCAGGAGUCAUGUAUGGAUGUGAGAGUUGGACUAUAAAGAAAGCUGAGCACCGAAGAAUUGAUGCUUUUGAACUGUGGUGUUGGAGAAGACUCUUGAGAGUCCCUUGGACUGCAAGGAGAUCCAACCAGUCAAUCCUAAAGGAAAUCAGUCCUGACUAUCCAUUGGAAGGACUGAUGCUGAAGCUGAAACUCCAAUACUUUGGCCACCUGAUGUGAAGAGCUGACUCAUUUGAAAAGACACUGUUCUGACAGUGGCUCAGGCACUGAGGCUUUUGUCCUGUUGUUGUCAUACUGUCGUUGAAACACACGAAGUUUAAUGUAUGGAAGGUAAAAGAGUGGAUGAAGAACUAUUCAUUGGAUUUUCAAACUAGAAUUAAUAUACAUUAUUUCCACCUACAUUCCAUGGCAAAAUCUUAAUAAAUAUGGAGCUUAAGAAAGUCCAGAUAUUUAACAUGUGGUAUAAUGUGCUAUAAUCUUGGAAUUCUAGUCUAGAAAGAACCAGGGUCUGCUAAGGGAGGAACUAUUUUUAUGGAAAGCCUAGCAGAAACAUAUUUGUUUGCAACAAAUUGUAUUUCUUUAAAUCUUUUUAUGAUGAAUCCUUUUGUUUACAGAAUUAAA